RNAcentral lists this ribosomal RNA (402 nucleotides) under uncultured prokaryote. RNAcentral's name for it is "bacterial SSU rRNA". It matches the Rfam family "Bacterial small subunit ribosomal RNA", at positions 355 to 774 of the family's 1533-position model. The record is from RNAcentral.
UAGGGAAUAUUAGAAAUGGACGAAAGUCUGAUCUAGCAACACCGCGUGUGCGAAGAAGGCCUUCGGGUCGUAAAGCACUUUUUGGAAGGAAUAGGAAGGAAUGUACUUCCAGAAUAAGUCUCGGCUAACUACGUGCCAGCAGCCGCGGUAACACGUAGGAGGCAAACGUUAUCCGGAUUUACUGGGCGUAAAGCGCGUGUAGGUGGUACUGUAAGUAGGGCGUGAAAGCUCCUGGCUCAACUUGGAGAGGCCGUUCUAAACUACAGAACUAGAGGAUGGUAGAGGGAGUUGGAAUUCCAGGUGUAGCGGUUGAAUGCGCAGAUAUCUGGAGGAACACCGGUGGCGAAGGCGGCCUCCUGGACCAUUCCUGACACUCAGACGCGAAAGCUAGGGUAGCAAACG